AAAGUUGGUAGUGAUUGCUGAUGUGAAUUCUGAGACCACCUGAGCACUCAGCCCAACUCCUA
This is a microRNA precursor of Gallus gallus (chicken), 62 nucleotides long. NCBI's taxonomy places the organism in Eukaryota, Metazoa, Chordata, Aves, Galliformes, Phasianidae. The record is from Ensembl.